Molecule: long non-coding RNA, 2755 nt
Organism: Diachasmimorpha longicaudata
Lineage: Eukaryota; Metazoa; Arthropoda; Insecta; Hymenoptera; Braconidae
Exons: 3
Source: RefSeq, a predicted model, not a curated record
UGGUGACGAGGUAGGUCAGGGGUAUCUGUGAAAACAAACACUUGGGGAUGAUUCAGAGGAGUCUAGAGGGUUCACGUGACCAACUGACCAAUUUUGUUAUUACAGAGAAAAUAAUUUUUUGGAUUUUUAUGAAGGGCUGUUGUUGAUAUGUGGGCGUCACAACUGCUUGUGUGAGGUUCGGUUUCGUAAAAGGCAAAUAAUUAUUUUUUAUCUAAUUAGGACAGUUCAUUUCGUCUCGUGAGUCUUCUGGAAGGUUCUACCGAAUUGAGACAUGAAAAUGGGGGAGAUUUUGAGAUGUGUCAAUGGGUCAUGUGGUGGUUUAAUUUCAGGGGAUGACAAUACAUUUUGGAGAUUGGGGAAUAUGGAAAAAAUUAACUUCAGUGAAUUUCAAGAUCAACUAUGGUUUGAGAGUUGGUUGAUUAGGCACUUUGUUAAUUAAUUUUCUGUUACUGGACUACUACAAUUUCAGAAGUCGGUGAAUUUUGAGGUUGACAUUCGAGUUGGUUAAGCCCUUAGUUCAACUGAUUUUUUUUAAUCGCAUCACAAACAGAUGAUUAUCGAUUUGGCAAAUGGUCGGACAGACUCCACAACUAUUCAGUAGCGAAAGGAAACGAUUUGAGUCUUGGGAAAAGUUGAGUGACUUUUUUUGGAAUAAAGGACAUGGAUUAGGUCGCAAUUUUGGAUGAAAUGAAUUUCCAAAGAGUUAUGUCGACAGAGCCCGAAAAAAGUGAUUAAAGAAAGAGUUAACUUGACAUAGAUUUUAUUUGAUUGGUCACGUAAUAUCCAAAGCAAUUUUUUUAAUUGGGGAGUUUCAAUAGAAGAAUUGAAUUUAAGCUCCAUUUUAAGGGAUCGAAAGUGUGCACUAGAUUUAGAGGUAGUCGAAGGGAGAAGUACUGACUUUGGAUGUGUGUGUGAUACUCUAUUGUUUCUUUAUAACUUUUCUGCGUUAUCCACCAAAUUUAAUUAAUACAGAAAAGAAGAAAGAUUUAUUAAAUCUACUUAUCUACAUUAACGAGAACAGUUGGGCUUUUCGCCAGAAUUUGCCCACUGAUGAGGGUCUCUAGCUGACCCAGAAUUUUUUCCUCGAAUGAUGAUUCCAUGAACACAGAUUCCGCUGAUAAACAUCAAAAUUUAAUUGUUUAUCAUUCAUGUCUCGAAAUGAAUCUCCUCGCCGUAGUCAAACAACUUGUUUAUUCUUAUUUUAUCACUGUGAUUCCCCUUAGUGUCUGUCCUUAUGUAAAAAUAUCACUAUAUACAUUGUCCAUAAUGAAAGAAAUUUUAGAAAAAUUCUCCACAAAUUAAUUUUUGAACUCCAAUUAGUUUUCUAUUGUCAGAUGAUUUAAGUCGACAUAACUCCAUUCAAGUUGAAGAGCCUGAGAGCUACUUGACCCUUCUAUUGUGUUCACAUUUUUCAUCCAAGUCAAUCAAAUCAAAUAAAUAAUCCUCCACAGAAGAUGAAACUAAUUAUGAAGUAAAAUCAUUCCCCAGGUGGUCAAACUCACUACUGACAUUGACUACAUUCCAAACAGAACAGCCACAAUCAAUUCUUCAUCGCUCCAAAAUUUAUUUCUCCAUUUCAACAAUUUCCUCCUUCGGUUACUGAAUCAUUAAUUAAUUACCCAAGAUACCUCGAUAUCGCCCAUUUUUUUUGUCGAAUUCGAUUGAACAAAACGAAAAUCAUCUGCUCCGUUAAGGAUUCUUUCUCAACAAAUAAUUUGUUCACGACAAAAGUAAAAAUCUGACAAAAUAAUUUCAUAAAAACUCAAUAGUUUAAACUUUAUUGGAAAAACGGAAUUAUAUUCACACAUUUCUGACAAGAUGAUUGAAAAUGGACUAGUUCUAGCCUAACGUAGGCCAUAGCACAGAUCAGCUCAUGCCUAUUCAAAAGCUGCAUCAGCCCUGUUCAUCAUGACAGGACUACCAAAGGCUCUGUGAAUUUUUUCAUCCCUUUUCCCCGAUUUUCUGCGCCUCUCCAAUGGGGAUGAUGGUUGAGAGACCGAUGGAAAGGGGGUGGUGGGGUCUACAGACUCCCCAGUGGUUGGAGCGGACAUCUGGCCCUCCAGAAAAGGCCCUGACAGCAUCGAAUCAGGUGUUCCAUCAAUGGAAUACGGAACUGGAGCCACCCUAGGGCCCAGCAGACCAGCAGAUCUUGAAUGAUUCUCUUCAGGAACUGUCGAUGUCCUCCUGAAGGGAGUUCUCCUGGAACUCAUUGAAGAAGAAAUCAUCUCGAUUAAUUUAAAUUGAAAGUGACAGCCGAAGCACGAGCACAUGUCCAUUUGAGGGGCACCAGUGGGGACGACGUGUCCUUUACUUACUGAUUACUGUCUACUGGAGAGGAAGUUUGGUCUGGACUGUCUGUGAAUACAUUUCCAUUGUCCCAGGAGUUGUGCCUGCGGUGGUGGCUCUUGUCUCUGUACGUCUCUGCUAUAUUUGAAAAACUCCCGACAAUUCGCUUGUCCAGCUCCUUCAGGACUUUCUCCGGCAUUCCGGUCUCCAGGGUCGAUAGAAUAUUAGUCGCAAGACCAUUCUGGAAUUUUAAACGUUGGAAUGAGCUUCUGAAUGAAGGAUUAGUCCACACGUUAGUCGCCCCAGUAAGUUGUUCACUGCUCCCCGAACUGUUAAGAAUCUCCGCAGAAUAAGUGGGUCGUGCAGGAAUGAUAGGAGAUCUGCAACAAACCCUUGAAUCACCAGAACGUGAAUUAAAACAUUGAAUCAAAUGAUUCAUCAAUUAUAUCAUCUCCAACUCACGUGUUCA